GACGAACCGUGCGAACGUUGUUCGGAAUCACUGGGCUUAAAGGGCGCGUAGGCGGACCCCCAAGUCCGGGGUGAAAUCCUCCGGCUUAACCGGAGAAUUGCCUGGGAUACUGGGGGUCUUGAGGGAGGUAGGGGCACGCGGAACUUCCGGUGGAGCGGUGAAAUGCGUUGAUAUCGGAAGGAACGCCGGUGGCGAAAGCGGCGUGCUGGCCCUCUUCUGACGCUGAGGCGCGAAAGCCAGGGGAGCGGAACGGG
RNAcentral lists this ribosomal RNA (254 nucleotides) under uncultured bacterium. RNAcentral describes it as "partial 16S ribosomal RNA". It matches the Rfam family "Bacterial small subunit ribosomal RNA", at positions 524 to 776 of the family's 1533-position model. The record is from RNAcentral.